Molecule: long non-coding RNA, 361 nt
Organism: Scophthalmus maximus (turbot)
Lineage: Eukaryota; Metazoa; Chordata; Actinopteri; Pleuronectiformes; Scophthalmidae
Exons: 3
Source: RefSeq, a predicted model, not a curated record
UCAUUCACACUUCUGUCGCAGAUCGAGGAAGUUCUUCCAUCUCUGCUGCUGCUGCUGCCGCCGCGUCAUGUGCUUCCCUUCCGCACAAACACCGACCCGGGUCAUGUGACAGCGGCGCGGGACCUCUGCGCCCAGGCCAUCCCUGUCUUUGCCCAGAGAGCUGCUCCGGAAUCUGGUUGCAUUACUCAAUUUGAAUUCACAGGAUUGGGCCUUAACUGUUCCCACACAAGUGAAAAGAGCUGAAAAGGGUUCAGUGCAGCCCGUUGUGUGUGUCGUCGUGGGCAAGUCUUUCUAUGCGGGACCGGAGAGGAGAACAUGGGAAGUGCUGGUGGUUUAUUUGUGUAGAAAUAUAACCACUGAA